RNAcentral lists this ribosomal RNA (367 nucleotides) under uncultured bacterium. Its description in RNAcentral is "bacterial SSU rRNA". It matches the Rfam family "Bacterial small subunit ribosomal RNA", at positions 29 to 398 of the family's 1533-position model. The record is from RNAcentral.
AUUGAACGCUGGCGGCAUGCCUUACACAUGCAAGUCGAACGGCAGCACGGGAGCAAUCCUGGUGGCGAGUGGCGAACGGGUGAGUAAUACAUCGGAACGUGCCCAGUAGUGGGGGAUAGCCCGGCGAAAGCCGGAUUAAUACCGCAUACGACCUACGGGUGAAAGCGGGGGAUCGCAAGACCUCGCGCUAUUGGAGCGGCCGAUGGCAGAUUAGCUAGNGGUGGGGUAAAGGCCCACCAAGGCGACGAUCUGUAGCUGGUCUGAGAGGACGACCAGCCACACUGGGACUGAGACACGGCCCAGACUCCUACGGGAGGCAGCAGUGGGGAAUUUUGGACAAUGGGCGCAAGCCUGAUCCAGCCAUGCC